Molecule: ribosomal RNA, 264 nt
Filed under: uncultured prokaryote
Description: partial 16S ribosomal RNA
Rfam family: Bacterial small subunit ribosomal RNA
Source: RNAcentral
UACGUAGGUGGCGAGCGUUGUCCGGAUUUACUGGGCGUAAAGGGUGCGUAGGAGGUCUUUCAAGUCAGGAGUGAAAGGCUACGGCUCAGCCGUAGUAAGCUCUUGAAACUGUAAGACUUGAGUGCAGGAGAGGAGAGUGGAAUUCCUAGUGUAGCGGUGAAAUGCGUAGAUAUCAAGAAGAACACCAGUGGCGAAGGCGGCUCUCUGGCCUAGAACUGACGCUGAAGCGCGAAAGCGUGGGUAGCGAACGGGAUUAGAUACCCU